GAGUUUGAUCCUGGCUCAGAUUGAACGCUGGCGGCAUGCCUUACACAUGCAAGUCGAACGGCAGCAUGAUCUAGCUUGCUAGAUUGAUGGCGAGUGGCGAACGGGUGAGUAAUACAUCGGAACGUGCCCUGUAGUGGGGGAUAACUAGUCGAAAGAUUAGCUAAUACCGCAUACGACCUGAGGGUGAAAGUGGGGGACCGCAAGGCCUCAUGCUAUAGGAGCGGCCGAUGUCUGAUUAGCUAGUUGGUGGGGUAAAGGCCCACCAAGGCGACGAUCAGUAGCUGGUCUGAGAGGACGAUCAGCCACACUGGGACUGAGACACGGCCCAGACUCCUACGGGAGGCAGCAGUGGGGAAUUUUGGACAAUGGGCGAAAGCCUGAUCCAGCAAUGCCGCGUGUGUGAAGAAGGCCUUCGGGUUGUAAAGCACUUUUGUCCGGAAAGAAAUGGCUCUGGUUAAUACCUGGGGUCGAUGACGUACCGAGAUGGCU
Molecule: ribosomal RNA, 489 nt
Filed under: uncultured beta proteobacterium
Lineage: Bacteria; Pseudomonadati; Pseudomonadota; Betaproteobacteria
Description: bacterial SSU rRNA
Rfam family: Bacterial small subunit ribosomal RNA
Source: RNAcentral